CCCCCCCACGGACACGCAACUACCAUUUUGGCUAGCUGAGAACCAGGCCUGUCUUUGUUCUACCCUUCCACUGCCAACUUUUUCUUAGUGGUCAGCUGGGGAACUAGGCCCUUGUUUGUUCUGAUCCAGGGAUUCAGAGUGACUAAGCACUUAUUGUCCCCGCCCGGUAAGGACUGUGCAUUAGUAGGAUAGGACAUUUUUAUUUGGAUAAUCUCUGAUUCAAACCUGUGAUAGCAUGUUGGCACACCCUGCAGCGAUUGCGCUGACACGGACCUCAUAACCUGUUAGGCCACUGGGGCAAAAGAGCUCUCUCACACCAGCGCCAUGCUGGUAGUAGAGGGGACGAACCAAUCCAAACCCCCCCAACAGGUUGGAACCUCAUAUUCACGUGAUAAACAUUGGGCUAGAGGUGCAAUGAGAUUCAAGAUAUAAACUAUUCAAUACAAUAAUAAAUUUCAUAGCUAUCGCCAGUGUUACGAAUAUACCCAACAUGUAACGGAUCAUUAUCACAUCCCCGAGUGCCCAUACCACCCUUGAUCCAUAAUCGUAACAUUGACAUUCACAUUCAUAACUGCGUGCUGGAAACAUACUCAUAGGUCUGCUUUGACCGAGGUUCACCUAUUCAAUCCCCAAACAGGCCAUCCAUCGCCAUUGGUGCCAUCCAAGUGCACUGCAAUUUUCCCCCCUCUGAUACGGGGACACCAUUUAUUGCAAAUACUCUCCAUUUGUUUCUUUAUGGAUGACAUCAAACAGGGGUUUCGCAUUAAAGUAGCCUGCUCCAGGAGUGCCAAUGGUUUUAUAGGUAAAGAGCGCAUCCUCAUCUUCGAUUUUCAUCGUCACACUGCCGCGACCCGCUGCUGCGGCAUCCGCCAUCAAUUGGGAUUGGCAGCAUCUCUCCAGAGAGAUGAACCAGAAUACUGCCUCCUCAAUCGUUUUGCCCACAGUCAAAAGACCGUGAUUUUGCAGAAGGGCGGCCUUUUUGUUGCCUAACGUGCUUGCGAUGUUUUCCCCCUCCUCUUUAGCAAGGACGACGCCUUUGAAUUGUUUAUAGAUAGCGAGAUCCUAAAAGGUGUCAAGGAACAUAUUCAAAGUUAGUUUACAUUUUGCCGCAUGGUGCGGGCGCGGAGAACGAGAUGCUGCCAUUUAUUUUUCUGACCAGAGGAAGAUAUCACGGGGCAAACAGGAGGUAUGUGAGAACAAUGAGUAAAUUUUAAAAAAGGGUUAUAACCUCGAUCAAUUUGAAGGGGAAAUAGAGAUGAGGAUGAAGUGGAGAAGAUGGAA
This 1281-nucleotide small RNA is filed under the name Histoplasma capsulatum var. duboisii H88. Its description in RNAcentral is "Histoplasma capsulatum H88 hypothetical RNA". Lineage: Eukaryota; Fungi; Ascomycota; Eurotiomycetes; Onygenales; Ajellomycetaceae. The record is from RNAcentral.